Molecule: ribosomal RNA, 444 nt
Filed under: uncultured bacterium
Lineage: Bacteria
Description: partial 16S ribosomal RNA
Rfam family: Bacterial small subunit ribosomal RNA
Source: RNAcentral
CUACGGGAGGCACCAGUGGGGAAUAUUGCACAAUGGGCGCAAGCCUGAUGCAGCAACGCCGCGUGAGGGAUGAAGGCCUUUGGGUUGUAAACCUCUUUUAGCAGGGAAGAAGCGAAAGUGACGGUACCUGCAGAAAAAGCACCGGCUAACUACGUGCCAGCAGCCGCGGUAAUACGUAGGGUGCAAGCGUUGUCCGGAAUUAUUGGGCGUAAAGAGCUCGUAGGCGGUUUGUCACGUCUGCUGUGAAAACCCAAGGCUCAACCUUGGACUUGCAGUGGGUACGGGCAGGCUAGAGUGCGGGAGGGGAGAUGGGAAUUCCUGGUGUAGCGGUGGAAUGCGCAGAUAUCAGGAGGAACACCAAUGGCGAAGGCACAUCUCUGGGCCGUAACUGACGCUGAGGAGCGAAAGCGUGGGGAGCGAACAGGAUUAGAUACCCGUGUAGUC